AAGUUGUUGUAGUUAAAAAUAUCGUAGCUGGAUCUUGGGUUGUAAAGGUGGGUCCGCCUACUUGGUGUGCACCUGCCCUUCCGUCCCUUUUGUUUGCGGCGUGCUCUUGGCCUUAAUUGGCUAGGUCACAGUUCCGACGUCGUUAUUUUGAAAAAAAUAGAGUGCUCAAAGCAAGCUUAUGCUCUGAAUACAUUAGCAUGGAAUAAAGCGAUAGGAGUUUGGUCCUAUUGUGUUAUACUUCGAGACCAGAGUAAUGAUUAAUAGGCACUGACGGGGGAAUUCAUGUUUCAUUGUCAGAGGUGAAAUUCUUGGAUUUAUGAAAGACAAACCACUGCGAAAGCAUUUUCCAAGGAUGUUUUCAUUAAUCAAGAACGAAAGUUGGGGGCUCGAAGA
This is a non-coding RNA of Picea glauca (white spruce), 393 nucleotides long. NCBI's taxonomy places the organism in Eukaryota, Viridiplantae, Streptophyta, Pinopsida, Pinales, Pinaceae. The record is from Rfam.